Dromaius novaehollandiae (emu) is the source of this 4634-nucleotide long non-coding RNA. RefSeq lists it as uncharacterized. The transcript has 2 exons. Lineage: Eukaryota; Metazoa; Chordata; Aves; Casuariiformes; Dromaiidae. The record is from RefSeq and is a predicted model, not a curated record.
GGGCUCCCCUCGGGGCUGGGCGGCCUCUCGGGCACCUCCGCACCACCUGGCUGGCGCUCCUUCGAGGAGUUUAAAACCAGAAAAAGGCCAAAACACGAGGGGAACCACCCCAAAAUGAGCUAGGAGCAACUGAAAGCCCCAGUCCGGGCUAGUCGCCUGCAUCUCAUGCCAAGGCCAAGGAGGGCCAGUGGCAGGCAGCCCCCCGGCCCGGCUGCAGGGACCCUGGCGGAUGGCCACGCGCACGGGGCAGGGGGGCGCGCUGUGACAGCCAGGCCCCCAAAACAGCCGCGGCAACAACGUGGGACAGAGGAGGCAUACGCCAGCGCUGUUACCGCUGCAAUGAGUUUGCACUGCGGCUUCCAGGAGCCUUGGUCAGGGACUGAGAGCCCUUUGUGCUAACCCUUGUUCAAAGAGCUCAUCCAGCACAAGUCAGUUAAAAAAAGAAAAAACUGGAUAACAUCCCCUUAGUAAGGCUAUUAUUUUAAUCCUUGAAUGAGCAAUCAAAGUGAUUUCACCCACAUUUACAUUGGAGUACAUCUUCUGCAGGUCUUGGCAAAAUUUGAGAAAGGAUAGCGAAUGCACUGCACAGGAGAUACAGGCCAGACGCCAUGUACAAAGAGAAAGCAGUCUCUGGAAACAAACACACUUUCUCUUGCAGCGCUACCAAGCACUACCCUGAAGGUCAAGUCUUUAAUAGGUGCAAGAUAAUUUCCCUCUUGUACUGCACACAUCCCACAAAUUCCUUUAAACAAUUUCCUCUUGUCUUGAAAUUCAAGCAACAGAACGGGAUCUGCUGAAUAGCAAGACCAUCAGAGCCAUUAAUCUGCAGUUACAGCCUAAUCUUGUUUCAUUUCCUGCCCUUUCCCCAGUUUACAGUAAGUGUGCAAACCACUGAACCAGCAAGUCGGUAAGGUUUUAUGGGUUUGAACGAGUCUUUUGGUGAAGCUACAAUUCUGCUCUAUUUAACUCCUCGGCACAGAACUAAUUUCUUCAAAGGAUAAGUGCCUCCUUUUCAGUGGAGGAAAAGGUACCUUCUGGCAUGUCCCAUCCAGAAGAGUUUCGUGUAAAAGAGCCUCACGCCUCUGAAGAGGACGAGGACUCCAGGAUCACUCUCCAGUUGUGCACCCUUCCUGCAGGUCUCCCUGAUAGCCCUGUGCUGUCUUGAACACCCAAAUACAGCUCCACAGCUUUUUAGCAUGUGUCUGAAAUAAAAAAAUAACUUGCUGGUUUCUUAGCAAGAUGUUAAGCUAUGGUCAUUUUCCAAUUUGUGUAGAAAUAGCCAUUUUCUUCUCCGCAUUGUCAAUCUUCCUAUUCCCAGAAGAGGGAGGUCACCGUCAAAGAAAGGUGAAGGCUCUCCCUGUGCCCAACGGAUUCAUGCCCCAGGAAAGGGAUAUCUAAAAGAAAAAAAUUACUUGUGUUUUAAUGAAGAUGAGACUCAAAGCUUGGGAUAGAACUUCAUGUGUGGUGGACCAGCCACAGGGACAUGGGCAGUGAGAAAAGACUGCAGGCUAUUAGGUGACUGAAAUGAUCCCCCCCAUCCAGCUAGAGAAAAAUCUGUUCCUGUUGUCCCAGACAGUAACAGAAGAUAAAUUGCAACCAAAGAGCAACGCAGAAGGGUAGACUACUGAAAAGACUGAGAAAUUCAGAGGUUAACUAUCACUGUUUUACUGAGAUGGGGACCUCUUAGGGAACAGGCUUGGAGUAAGCAUGCGAGCAGCCUGAGAUGAGGACAUGAGACACUGCUGUGUAAUCUGGGUGAGCCAAGACUGAUUUUCCUUGGAGCAGAAAGCUGGUGAGAUUUUUUUUUUUUUGCAAGUUCUUACACAGUCAGAAAGUCAUCCCAAAGCAAACAGGCCUUUACAGAAAUUGAGUUCAGGCAGGCUCCAGUAAACUCAAUGCCUUGAGGCAGGAUGAGCACUGAUUAUGAAAAACACAAGGCAGCAAAGAUUUCUAUCGUUGUUUAAAGAGGGAGAAGGGCAGCGUUCCAGCAACACUCAGCAGAUCUCUGUAAAAGACAACCCUUUUUCUUCAGGAUAAACCACCAAAAUUGCUCAGCCUUCAUAAAAACCUGCAGAGAGAGAACAAGGAGGGAGGGAUGCCCCUUUGUAACUUGCUUUCAUUUAUGCUACUUACCUUCUCUGAAAACCAAGCAAUCUUACUCUUCUACCGUAUUCAUGGGAAAUAAUAUUCAGGCUCUGGCUGUUUGCAUUUGCAACGCAACAGUGUUCAGUACAGAUUUUCCUACAAGUAAAUUACUCUGCUAGCUUAAUACUAUUACAAUUAUAAGAAUUGCACUAGGAAAAAAAUUCUUGGUUUAAAAGGUUCCAUUUUUCAUUAGAGUCUUAAUUUAAAAAAAAAAUCCAGCCAGCUCCCCAUACAGUUAGCCAGGUCUUCAUUCAUGGUUUCUUACUGUUUAUUUUGAGUCCGGUAAGGUACUAGUUGUUAAAAUUAUAUUCCCAAUGAAUUCUGUAUUUAUCACACACAAUUUCACUUGAUGGCCUGUUACCUACUGACUUCUGACAGAAUCUUUUUCAAUCUCAAUAACGCAUAAGGGACAGCAAUGUUUCAUGGAAGUAAGAUUUGAGGAUCAGCCUUAAGUGAUGGUGUAAGUCUUCUCUAAGGAGCAGCACAGCUACUCACGUCUUCCCUAUUAAGUCUUACUUUGAACAAUGGACUUGCUUUCUGUUCAAGUCACAGACUUACUAAAUAAUAUGAUAAACAUAGAUAAUAUCUUAAAGUGAUAGUAUCAAAGACCUAUUCUGGUAAAUGUAAAUUAAAAUCACUACAGUUCAGACUGAGGGAACAGGGCAACAGCAUUUCAGGAACUAUGUGCAGGAGAAGAUAUCAGUGUAAGAUUUGCACUGAAAGUCUCUCCUUAGAAGGAGAUCAGUAGUAAAUACAUAGAAUAGGGGAAAGAAAAACAGAUGCUUCAACUUUAGUUUUCCUAAGUUAGUGGUCUUUUCUUCUGAUACAUCAAAUUUUUUUCCCCAUAAUUUAAUACAUAACUUACAAGCCAGUGAAUAGUAACAUUCAUAUUUUUUUCUCUUUAAAUACAUUUCUUCGUUACUGCCAAUCUGAGGCCUCCAGACUCAGAUCACGAAACAGCAACCCUGGCAAGCACUGGGUUUACAUAGCUUGUUAUACCAUCCACCACGCCAGCACGAAGCAGCGAAGGUGCCAGAACCUGAUUCCAGCCUCUUCCCUUCUGGAAUUCCAGCACAAGGAGCCUCCUGUCUCCACAUUUCACUUUCUCACAAGAUGCACCGAACCUCUUGGCAACGAGAUCGCUACCUCCUACUUCAUCAGGAGGAGCCAGGAAACUAGAAAUACUUCACAAAAAUGAGACCUUCAGAAUCUCCUGUACUUCUUCCACAGCAUUUAAUAAAUCCUUUUACUCGUUAGCUUCCACGUUAGCCUUUCUAAUGGCUUUCAGCUUAAGUGGAGAGGGUAUUAUUUUGCAUCUCUCUUUAUCAAGGUCAGCAUUUGUCUAACAAUAGAUGAGAUUUUUCCUUUACUGAGGCAAGUAUAAGCCCGCUGUUUUCUGUAAGAGCGCUCAGUUUUGCUUCAUGCUGAUGAACCACAGAGGGACUGGAUAUGAGAACAGGAUGAGACUAAUGGCACUCCAGACCACACUCUGCAGCAAAACUGUUUCUUGCCAUCAAGGUCAUUGUUAAGCUUCAAUAUCAAAUAAGACUGUGUGUGCACAUGAACAUUGAGGGCAGGGGCAUGAACAGAGUUCUGCAAAAUUGUAAGAGAGAUCAGUAUUCUAAUAUUUAGGAUUCAUCUUCAAAACAGGACUUUUCUCUAAUAAAAUUCUGCUAUUCUCAUCUUCCCCCAGCAUCAUUUGGAACACUAUAAGCUCAAGCAGGAAAAAAAAAUUCUGAUACUGAGAUUUAAAAAACCCUAUUAUAAUUGGGCUUUAAUGAAUAGCAUGUGCAGAACAACUUAGAGCAAUUAAAAUUAUUUCUACAGUAAAUAGAUUUUGAAGUGUUUUACAUAAAGAUACAAUAUAUUGCUGCAGGCAGUUAUUAAACUCAUUCAACAUUUUACAAUGCUAGCACUAAAGUCAGUUCAUAUUGCUACUUAUACUUAUGUUGAUCUUAACAUGAUUUGCAGUAUAUUAACCUCUUCCACAAACUGUUUACUGUUUAUGACUAGUUUGACAAGCGAAACCUGUCAGUUCAUAUACUGCCAGAACCAAAUAUUAAUUGAAGACAGAAAAGCACUCAUUUCUAGACUUAUAACUCUUUGCUCUACUUCCUUGCCUUUUAUUUUAGCAACAAAUUUAAUUCUCAAGAAGGAUGUUAUCUUGUUCAUGGAAAUAUCAGAAACAAAUUCUCUCCUUAUUAAAUUAAUUUUUCACUUAAAACUAUUGCUACUAAAAAUCCCACAAGUUUAGCAUAUUCACUAUUUAAGUUCUGUAUAUUCACUGUAUAUAAAUUGAUUGCAAAAGUAUUGCAUGGCAGGAAUCAAACACAUUUAUUGCAUUCCUUUGUUUAGAGAUUCAGUGCCUGUUGCUGCAGCUGGCUUCACAUGCUUUUGACCUCCUGGGCUAGGCUUAUAACCUAAGAAAACUUGUUUUGUACACUUGCUUGGACUGAAAAUAAAUCAGACUUUCCAGAUCUCAAAACAAA